Molecule: microRNA, 31 nt
Filed under: Vombatus ursinus (common wombat)
Lineage: Eukaryota; Metazoa; Chordata; Mammalia; Diprotodontia; Vombatidae
Description: miRNA (ENSVURG00010013347.1)
Source: RNAcentral
UGAGUGCCUGCUAUGUGCCAGGCAUUGUGCU